Molecule: ribosomal RNA, 603 nt
Filed under: Fomitopsis pinicola
Lineage: Eukaryota; Fungi; Basidiomycota; Agaricomycetes; Polyporales; Fomitopsidaceae
Description: eukaryotic LSU rRNA
Rfam family: 5.8S ribosomal RNA (bases 203-356)
Source: RNAcentral
UUGUAGCUGGCUGUUUCGUUUGAGCGGCAUGUGCACGCCCUGAUCAUUAUCCAUCUCACACACCUGUGCACAUACUGUAGGUCGGCUUUUGAUUGGAGUGGGGUCUUCAUCGACUCUGCUUUUUAGUUGGGGCCUUCCUAUGUUUUAUCACACACUACUUCAGUUAAAAGAAUGUCCUCUUGCGUCUAACGCAUUUAAAUACAACUUUCAGCAACGGAUCUCUUGGCUCUCGCAUCGAUGAAGAACGCAGCGAAAUGCGAUAAGUAAUGUGAAUUGCAGAAUUCAGUGAAUCAUCGAAUCUUUGAACGCACCUUGCGCUCCUUGGUAUUCCGAGGAGCAUGCCUGUUUGAGUGUCAUGGAAUUCUCAACUCUAUUUGCUUUUGUGAAUAGAGCUUGGACUUGGAGGUUUAUUGCCGGUACCUGUGAUCGGCUCCUCUUGAAUGCAUUAGCUCGAACCUUUUGUGGAUCAGCUUAUCGGUGUGAUAAAAUGUCUACGCCGUUACUGUGAAGCAUAUUAUUCGGCUUCCAAUCGUCCUUCACGGGACAAUAACUUUGACCUUUGACCUCAAAUCAGGUAGGAUUACCCGCUGAACUUAAGCAUAU